UCCAUAAUGGUGUAGUGGUUAGCAUUUCUGACUAGGACAUAGGAGACCAGGGUUCAAAUCCCUGUUGGGCCAUGAAG
Non-coding RNA from Podarcis lilfordi (Lilford's wall lizard), 77 nucleotides. The record is from the annotation of a GenBank genome assembly. NCBI's taxonomy places the organism in Eukaryota, Metazoa, Chordata, Lepidosauria, Squamata, Lacertidae.